This is a long non-coding RNA of Dermacentor andersoni, 200 nucleotides long. RefSeq lists it as uncharacterized. The record is from RefSeq and is a predicted model, not a curated record. NCBI's taxonomy places the organism in Eukaryota, Metazoa, Arthropoda, Arachnida, Ixodida, Ixodidae.
CGGUUGUUAUUGCUGUACUUUGUGGUGUUGUGAUUCACCAGUGCGGAUCGAAGAGCACCGUUUUCUCCAGCCCGGAUUCUACAAUUUGGAGAUGGUGUACAAGGCGAUGUGCAAGUGCAUUUCACACCUUGGGGAGCUGCAAGAUAUGCUUUCACAAUCCUUGCUGCAAGUGUUCAAAUAAAGGGUUUCAAGUUUCAGCA